AUCAAAAUAUAUUUAACAAGUAUAUCUUUUAGGUUAUUGUCGCCAGGAAAUAUCUAACGUGUAGACAUAAUUCAAUGUGUAUACGUACUAUCUGUAAUUUUUUUUAUAUUAGUCCAAGACAUCAAUAAAAAUAGUUGUUAUGACGAAUUUUUCAACUAGUUUAAACAUUUAAGCAUCUUUGAAAAAGUUUAUAGUUUGAAGUAAGUUAAGUUAAGAGAAGAUCAAGUAUGGUUUAGGAGGAAAGAACAUUAGUUUAACUUUCUGUCAUCUUUGUAAAGUUUAUCUUUUCUAAUAUAAAUUUGACAAUUAAUUCCUUCUCCACAUUUUGUAAGUGAUUGAUCAUAGUGAACUGAGUGAACUGGAUUUUUACUUACGUAUUAAAUUCCAGUUACAUCAUUUUGGGGUACAUUUACUUAAUACAUAGUACAAAUCUACAUAUAAGAUAUAUAAAUGUAUUGAAAUAUAAUCUCCAAAAAUAGAAUAAGAGACGAUUGUGUUUGGAUGAUUGAUUUUUUUAUCAAAAGAUGAUUUGAUUAAACGUCUCCAUCUGUGAAGAAACACGAGAGAACGGAGAAGAUAAAAUGGGAAACAUGUGAGAGCUUCAAGAAUGGAUCUCUCGUGAGACGUGACCGAUCAUCCUCUGAUACAUACAUUCUCUAACUUAUAGUUAAUCCAAAAC
Molecule: long non-coding RNA, 679 nt
Filed under: Brassica napus (rape)
Lineage: Eukaryota; Viridiplantae; Streptophyta; Magnoliopsida; Brassicales; Brassicaceae
Description: long non-coding RNA (BNAP_LNC022547)
Source: RNAcentral